GAUGAAGAACGUAGCGAAAUGCGAUACGUAGUGUGAAUUGCAGAAUUCAGUGAAUCAUCGAAUCUUUGAACGCACAUUGCACCUCUUGGUAUUCCGGGAGGUAUGCCUGUUCGAGCGUCAUUUGUACCCUCAAGCUCUGCUUGGUGUUGGGUGUUUGUUCCGCCUCUGUGUGUGAACUCGCCUCAAAACAAUUGGCAGCCGGCGUACUUGUUUCGGAGCGCAGCACAUUUUGCGAUCCAGAUCAACGUACAGCGGCAUCCAAGAAGCCUUAUUUAACGCUCUUGACCUCGGAUCAGGUAGGGAUACCCGCUGAACUUAAGCAUAUCAAUAAGCGGAGGA
Molecule: unclassified non-coding RNA, 339 nt
Filed under: soil metagenome
Description: partial contains 5.8S ribosomal RNA, internal transcribed spacer 2, and large subunit ribosomal RNA
Rfam family: 5.8S ribosomal RNA (bases 1-120)
Source: RNAcentral